Molecule: long non-coding RNA, 528 nt
Filed under: Heterocephalus glaber (naked mole-rat)
Lineage: Eukaryota; Metazoa; Chordata; Mammalia; Rodentia; Bathyergidae
Description: lncRNA (ENSHGLG00000034746.1)
Source: RNAcentral
CUCCAAACAGCAUCCUUCCAGACUUUGUUGUGAUCAUUCAUCUUUUGGGCUUUUGGAUGAACGCAGCAUCACCUCCAGGCCAUCCUAUCAAAAACCUGCUCAGGGAUUUAGCUCAGUGGUUCUGCAGCCUGCCUCACAAGCACAAGGUCCCAAGUUCAGAUCCCCAGUACCAAAAAAAACACCAACAACAAAGAAAUCUGCUCAAGGGUCUUGUUUUGUAGUUCAGCCUGGCCUUGAACUCACUAUGCAGCCCAGGUGGCCUUGAACUCAUGGCGAUCCCCUGCAUCAGCCUCAGGAGUGCUGGGAUUCUAGGUAGACAGUAUGAGCUCAGUGACCCUCAUCUGCUUUCUUCCUCACAGUAUUCCUAGCACCGGAGCACAUGGGAGGCACGCAGUAAAUCCUUAUUAAAUGGAAGUGGAAUGUUUAAAUGCCUCACUGUCGCUCUUGUGUGAGAAACUGAAAGUGGAAAUAAGGACCAAAAUGUAUAAUAGAUAUUGGGAAAUGGGAAGAAAAUGUUCAAAUGGGAAG